This 778-nucleotide long non-coding RNA is filed under the name Vulpes vulpes (red fox). RNAcentral describes it as "lncRNA (ENSVVUG00000018370.1)". The record is from RNAcentral. Lineage: Eukaryota; Metazoa; Chordata; Mammalia; Carnivora; Canidae.
ACAUUUUACAAACAUAAUUUUACAAACAUAAUUUGUAUAUCUUUAUCUCUCCUCCCCCUUCUUUCCUGUUCCUUUUGUGUCUGGAAUAUUAUAGAAUAUCACCUUUAAGCAUCAGAUUAAACUAAGAAGAACAUCAUUAGUUUAGUGGGAUGAGGAGACGCUUCUUUCUUCCUGAUGAUUGGAAGUAGUACUAAAUCCAGAAAACUCAAAUGACCUCCCAGGGAACAAGGAAGAAUUUUCACUUCAAAUAUUGUCUGUGGUAUGUAGAGAAUAUCAAAUACUUUAGGUAAAGCAAGAUUAUGAAAAGAAAAAUGAAGUGGGAAAAAAAAAAAUGAAGUGGGAUUUCCCCAUACACUUUUGGCAGACGGGAAGCAACAAGCUUCAUUUGCAGCUAAUGAGAUAUUACCUAGUGGUAGAAGCCAAAUUCUAACCAAUACCAAGAACUCUCCAGGGAACAGUAACUUGAAUUGGAAUAAAGGUCAAGCUAUUUACAAGAAUGUAAAUGUGAAGGUGUCUGCUCAUUUUAUUUUAUGGACCCGUUCAAAAAUAGCCUUGGGAAAGAGAACAGAAGAUUAAAUCAAAAUGAGAAAAUCCAUUCAGGUGAUCAAAGAAAAUGUCAAACAUGGUAAAAAUUUUGAGUUAAGAUCAUCAGCACACUUCAAAGACUUCUGACUAUGGCAUUAUCACAAGAAAGUAAGUGCCCAGCAAACUGUUAUCAAAAUCACUGAUCAGGUCUGAGAAGAAAGUAAUUGUGCUACAUAUUAAAAUUUGUGAUAGA